UACGGAGGAUCCGAGCGUUAUCCGGAUUUAUUGGGUUUAAAGGGAGCGUAGGUGGAUUGUUAAGUCAGUUGUGAAAGUUUGCGGCUCAACCGUAAAAUUGCAGUUGAAACUGGUAGUCUUGAGUACAGUAGAGGUGGGCGGAAUUCGUGGUGUAGCGGUGAAAUGCUUAGAUAUCACGAAGAACUCCGAUUGCGAAGGCAGCUCACUGGACUGCAACUGACACUGAGGCUCGAAAGUGUGGGUAUCAAACAGG
This 253-nucleotide ribosomal RNA is filed under the name uncultured bacterium. Its description in RNAcentral is "partial 16S ribosomal RNA". It matches the Rfam family "Bacterial small subunit ribosomal RNA", at positions 524 to 776 of the family's 1533-position model. The record is from RNAcentral.